GCGCUGGUGCUGGAAUUGGCAGACAGGCAUGGUUGAGGGCCAUGUGACGCAAGUCAUGGGGGUUCAAGUCCCCCCCAGCGCACAA
Molecule: transfer RNA, 85 nt
Filed under: Flexilinea flocculi
Lineage: Bacteria; Bacillati; Chloroflexota; Anaerolineae; Anaerolineales; Anaerolineaceae
Description: tRNA-Leu
Rfam family: tRNA
About the family: Transfer RNA (tRNA) molecules are approximately 80 nucleotides in length. Their secondary structure includes four short double-helical elements and three loops (D, anti-codon, and T loops).
Source: RNAcentral